This 439-nucleotide ribosomal RNA is filed under the name uncultured bacterium. Its description in RNAcentral is "bacterial SSU rRNA". It matches the Rfam family "Bacterial small subunit ribosomal RNA", at positions 29 to 516 of the family's 1533-position model. The record is from RNAcentral.
AAUGAACGCUGGCGGCAGGCCUAAACAUGCAAGUCGAACGCUGUAGCAAUACAGAGUGGCGCACGGGUGAGUAACAUGUGGGAAUAUGCCUAUUGGUACGGAACAACGUUUGGAAACGAACGCUAAUACCGUAUGGUCCCUUCGGGGUAAAGAUUUAUCGCCAAUAGAUUAGCCCGCACUAGAUUAGCUAGUUGGUGAGGUAAGAGCUCACCAAGCCGACGAUCGGUAGCUGGUCUGAGAGGAUGAUCAGCCACACUGGGACUGAGAUACGGCCCAGACUCCUACGGGAGGCAGCAGUGGGAAUAUUGGACAAUGGGGCAACCCUGAUCCAGCAAUGCCGCGUGAGUGAUGAAGGCCUUAGGGUUGUAAAGCUCUUUUGCCAGGGAAGAUGAUGACUGUACCUGGAGAAUAAGCCCCGGCUAACUUCGUGCCAGCAGCC